UGGGGAAUAUUGGACAAUGGGGGCAACCCUGAUCCAGCCAUGCCGCGUGAGUGAUGAAGGCCUUCGGGUUGUAAAGCUCUUUCGCACGCGACGAUGAUGACGGUAGCGUGAGAAGAAGCCCCGGCUAACUUCGUGCCAGCAGCCGCGGUAAUACGAAGGGGGCUAGCGUUGUUCGGAAUUACUGGGCGUAAAGGGCGCGUAGGCGGCGCAACAAGUCAGGCGUGAAAGCCCCGGGCUUAACCUGGGAAAUGCGCUUGAGACUGUUGUGCUUGAGUACCGGAGAGGUGGGUGGAAUUCCCAGUGUAGAGGUGAAAUUCGUAGAUAUUGGGAAGAACACCGGUGGCGAAGGCGGCCCACUGGACGGUUACUGACGCUGAGGCGCGAAAGCGUGGGGAGCAAACAGG
This 404-nucleotide ribosomal RNA is filed under the name uncultured Rhodospirillaceae bacterium. RNAcentral describes it as "bacterial SSU rRNA". It matches the Rfam family "Bacterial small subunit ribosomal RNA", at positions 355 to 776 of the family's 1533-position model. The record is from RNAcentral. Lineage: Bacteria; Pseudomonadati; Pseudomonadota; Alphaproteobacteria; Rhodospirillales; Rhodospirillaceae.